This 273-nucleotide ribosomal RNA is filed under the name uncultured prokaryote. RNAcentral's name for it is "partial 16S ribosomal RNA". It matches the Rfam family "Bacterial small subunit ribosomal RNA", at positions 526 to 798 of the family's 1533-position model. The record is from RNAcentral.
CGUAGGGUGCGAGCGUUGUCCGGAAUUAUUGGGCGUAAAGAGCUUGUAGGCGGUUAGUCGCGUCGGAAGUGAAAACUCGGGCCUUAAUCCCGAGCUUGCUUCCGAUACGGGCUGACUAGAGGAAGGUAGGGGAGAAUGGAAUUCCUGGUGGAGCGGUGGAAUGCGCAGAUAUCAGGAGGAACACCAGUGGCGUAGGCGGUUCUCUGGACCUUUCCUGACGCUGAGAAGCGAAAGCGUGGGGAGCAAACAGGCUUAGAUACCCUGGUAGUCCCU